UGAACCUACGGGAGGCAGCAGUGAGGAAUAUUGGUCAAUGGGCGCAAGCCUGAACCAGCCAAGUCGCGUGAGGGAUGACGGUCCUAUGGAUUGUAAACCUCUUUUGUCGGGGAGCAAGGCCCGCCACGUGUGGCGGGAAGGAGAGUACCCGAAGAAAAAGCAUCGGCUAACUCCCUGCCCGCAGCCGCGGUAAUACGGAGGAUGCGAGCGUUAUCCGGAUUUAUUGGGUUUAAAGGGUGCGUAGUCGGAAGGUUAAGUCAGCG
Molecule: ribosomal RNA, 263 nt
Filed under: uncultured bacterium
Lineage: Bacteria
Description: partial 16S ribosomal RNA
Rfam family: Bacterial small subunit ribosomal RNA
Source: RNAcentral